UUGACCCAGGUACUAAUCAGGUGGAACCAGACGAUCUUCCACGGCACACCAGUUGGGAAACACUGGUCUACUAUGCAACUCCACAUUUGAAAAUGGACUCCAGGUCUCUCCUCUUAGACGCGCUGUCUCUAUCCAAGAAUGAGUGUUUCUGUUUGGGUGUCAAGCUGGUGAGAGGAGCCUACAUGGACAAAGAGAGAAAACUAGCGAUGAAAGAGGGUCACCAGGACCCCAUCCAUCAGAGCUGGGAGGACACCAAUGACAGGCUGUUAUAACGGAUGCCUUGAUGUGAUGCUGGAUGUCAUGUUGCAGGAACCUGAGCGGUACAGGUUCAUAGUUGCCACUCACAACGAGGAGUCAGUGAGAUGAGCUGUGACACGCUGAGACAGCAACGUAAUCGAGGUGGUAUUUGAUGUACAGAAAAUCAAAAGAUUGCUUUCAUAUACUUUAAUGUAUGAAAUGCUUAUCAAAUUUCACAAAAAAGGAAAACAUGAUGCUCAGAAUUUUCUGUAACCUACAGGUGAGGAUUUAUAAAACUAGACUUAAGCAACAGAUCCAAACUUCUCUACAGACUAAGCUGCUUUUGCAAGAUUUUUGUUUAAAGCAUAAUCGAAAUGCUUUUUUCCGGUUUUUAUAUAAUAAAUAUAAUUACACACACACACACACACACACACACACACACACACACACACACAGUCCUCUUUAUAGAGCCUCUGUAGCUUUAGUUAGCAGACAGACUGCAUGUCUUUUCGUGUGAAUUAAAGUAUUGUACUUGUCCAAAAUGCAAUGACUUGUAUGUAGGCAACAAAAGAUGUACCACUUUUUAAUUCACCCUCAAUCCACUGAUAAGCAUCUUAAAGCAGGUGGACUGAGACUGAUUUUAAUGAUAUGCUUUUAGUUUUCCAUACAUGUACUGAAUUUAUAUUAUCACUGCAAAAAAAACCCAAACAAAACACAACACUGUUUAAUAUUUAUUUAUUAAUCUGUUAAAAUAAUAAAACUCCAGAUUUAUUCCAAGAAAUUGACAGAAAUGUAAUAUCACAUUCUGCCGUUGCUGACACAAAGCAAUGCUAACUGACAUAGAAACAGCAGCAAAACAGUUUCAUUGAGGGAGCACGGCCAAGAGCCAAACUCACAAAAUGAGGUACUGAUGUUGUCUUGGAAUGAAGACCAGCUCUACUGGAAAAACUGAAAUCCACAAACUUCAAGCUCAGUAAUUUCCUUGAUUUUGAUUCCUGUAACCGCCUCUCUGGUAACCCGACUGCUUCUGCUGGUAAGAUUUCCCGUCUGCGGUUGUACAAAGACAACAAUCAUCUCAUUAGUGUUCACACAAAUUCACUAAACUACAAGAAAAGAAGAAAAAAACAAACCACAAAGGUGUAAUACUGAUGGAUGAAUUUAAAAUAGCAUCUACUGCUGAAAAGAGAACCCAACCCACAUCUACCUCAUUGACAUAAAACAGGAAACGACCUCAGUGAAAUUUAACAUACCUCUCUGGUAGGAUUGCUUCUGUUGGUAGCCACCUUUCUGAUCUGUAUGACAAAUGAAAGCUAAUUAUCAUCUAAUAG
RNA transcript from Haplochromis burtoni (Burton's mouthbrooder), 1565 nucleotides. RefSeq lists it as uncharacterized. The record is from RefSeq and is a predicted model, not a curated record. The transcript is spliced from 3 exons. NCBI's taxonomy places the organism in Eukaryota, Metazoa, Chordata, Actinopteri, Cichliformes, Cichlidae.